This 554-nucleotide ribosomal RNA is filed under the name Uperodon systoma. RNAcentral's name for it is "partial 16S ribosomal RNA". It matches the Rfam family "Bacterial large subunit ribosomal RNA", at positions 1829 to 2597 of the family's 2925-position model. Lineage: Eukaryota; Metazoa; Chordata; Amphibia; Anura; Microhylidae. The record is from RNAcentral.
CGCCUCUCGACAAAUUAUGAGAGGUCCAGCCUGCCCAGUGACCAAGUUAAACGGCCGCGGUACCCUAACCGUGCGAAGGUAGCGCAAUCACUUGUUCUUUAAAUAAGGACUAGUAUGAACGGCAUCACGAGGGUUAUACUGUCUCCCCCUUCUAAUCAGUGAAACUGACCCCCCCGUGAAGAGGCGGGGAUAAAAAUAUAAGACGAGAAGACCCCAUGGAGCUUUAAACUCAGUUUCAAUUGCCCUUAUUUAUAUCAUUUAAACCGGGCAAAUAUGAUUUCUAGUUUUCGGUUGGGGUGACCGCGGAGCAAAAAAAAACCUCCACGAUGAAAGAGCCAACCCUCUAAUCAUAGAGCAACAACUCAAAGAAUCAAUAAAUUGACAUAAUUUGAUCCAAUUAUUUUGAUCAACGAACCAAGUUACCCUGGGGAUAACAGCGCAAUCCACUUCAAGAGCCCCUAUCGACAAGUGGGUUUACGACCUCGAUGUUGGAUCAGGGUAUCCCAGUGGUGCAGCCGCUACUAAAGGUUCGUUUGUUCAACGAUUAAAACCCU